Camellia sinensis is the source of this 348-nucleotide non-coding RNA. NCBI's taxonomy places the organism in Eukaryota, Viridiplantae, Streptophyta, Magnoliopsida, Ericales, Theaceae. The record is from RefSeq and is a predicted model, not a curated record.
AUAAGGAAGCUAGAGAAGAAGAAGAUUUCAAGGGGAAAUCAAAUCUAAUUGCUGAAAUUAAAAUUUGAGGUGAGCAAAGGGAUGUCCAAACCCAACCUCAGUGAAAGAUAUGAGAGGAAGUGAAGUUUUGUGGAGUCAGCCCGCAUGUCUCACGAACGAGACUUUAUUUUUGUUCAUGUGUUUACACUUUUGCUUUAUCGUUGAAUACGUUAGAUCAUCCAUGCAUAUAAGUUUGUUUUGUUUGGCUGACUGCAUGUCUUGAAGUUCCUGGAUGUAUAAGAUAUUAACUCUGUUUUUAUGUGUGAGUUAUUAUGGACUGUUUAUGAAAUGUUUCGCUUUAUCAUGUAA